GACGAACGCUGGCGGCGUGCCUAAUACAUGCAAGUCGAGCGAGCUUGCCUAGAUGAUUUUAGUGCUUGCACUAAAUGAAACUAGAUACAAGCGAGCGGCGGACGGGUGAGUAACACGUGGGUAACCUGCCCAAGAGACUGGGAUAACACCUGGAAACAGAUGCUAAUACCGGAUAACAACACUAGACGCAUGUCUAGAGUUUGAAAGAUGGUUCUGCUAUCACUCUUGGAUGGACCUGCGGUGCAUUAGCUAGUUGGUAAGGUAACGGCUUACCAAGGCAAUGAUGCAUAGCCGAGUUGAGAGACUGAUCGGCCACAUUGGGACUGAGACACGGCCCAAACUCCUACGGGAGGCAGCAGUAGGGAAUCUUCCACAAAGGACGAAAGUCUGAUGGAGCAACGCCGCGUGAGUGAAGAAGGGUUUCGGCUCGUAAAGCUCUGUUGGUAGUGAAGAAAGAUAGAGGUAGUAACUGGCCUUUAUUUGACGGUAAUUACUUAGAAAGUCACGGCUAACUACGUG
Molecule: ribosomal RNA, 519 nt
Filed under: uncultured bacterium
Lineage: Bacteria
Description: partial 16S ribosomal RNA
Rfam family: Bacterial small subunit ribosomal RNA
Source: RNAcentral